UUUCAGCUCUUCCUGCAGGCGGUCGAAUACCGCCUGGUCGGCCUCGGCUUCAGCACGCAUUGACUGUCAGACAAAAGAACAAAGUCUUCACCUCAAUAUCAAAACAUCGCAGACCAGUGUGGGAGCAAGCACGUCACAGGUUACCAUUUGCUCUGCAGUCUUCAGGGCGCAAGCCUUUACUGGCUCCUUGUCCACAGGCUGGCGCAGGCGUGUCACUGUUCGAUUCUCGCAUCCCUCCAGCCGCAGGCGAAGGUCCUUGAUCUUUGUCAGGUACUGCCAGGACAACAGGCUCUUCAUGUCCAUGAACAUCGUCUGCCACAUCGUCUGCAGCCUCUGGAGGUUUCCAUCCAGUCUGAGGAAGGUAGAGUGGAGGUUAGCACUUUCUGCUCUGCGUGCACGUGAGUUUGGUCUCUGACUGACCCAAGACACCCCGAGGGGGACUCCGAGCUCACCCGGCAA
Long non-coding RNA from Xiphias gladius (swordfish), 459 nucleotides. RefSeq lists it as uncharacterized. The record is from RefSeq and is a predicted model, not a curated record. Lineage: Eukaryota; Metazoa; Chordata; Actinopteri; Istiophoriformes; Xiphiidae. The transcript is spliced from 3 exons.